This 788-nucleotide ribosomal RNA is filed under the name uncultured bacterium. Its description in RNAcentral is "bacterial SSU rRNA". It matches the Rfam family "Archaeal small subunit ribosomal RNA", at positions 142 to 907 of the family's 1478-position model. The record is from RNAcentral.
GGGAUUAAUCCAUGAUAGAUCAAGGCUCCUGGAAUGGGCUUUGGUCCAAAGGGAUGGACAAGCAUGUUUUGCCCAUCUGCUCUAGGAUGGGGCUGCGGCCGAUCAGGUUGUUGGUGGGGUAAUGGCCCACCAAGCCUAUAACCGGUACGGGCUUUGAGAGAAGGAGCCCGGAGAUGGACACUGAGAUAAGGGUCCAGGCCCUACGGGGCGCAGCAGGCGCGAAAACUUCGCAAUGUGCGAAAGCAUGACGAGGUUACUCCGAGUGCUACUCGCUGAGGGUGGCUUUUCCUGAGUCUAAAAAGCUUGGGGAAUAAGGGGAGGGUAAGUCUGGUGUCAGCCGCCGCGGUAAUACCAGCUCCUCGAGUGGUCGGGACGUUUAUUGGGCCUAAAGCAUCCGUAGCCGGUCUUGUAGGUCCCCUGUUAAACCCAACGGCCCAACCGUUGGACUGCAGAGGAUACCACAUGACUAGGAGGCGGGAGAGGUGGAUGGUACUCCAUGGGUAGGGGUAAAAUCCUUUGAUCCAUGGAAGACCACCAGUGGCGAAGGCGGUCCGCCAGAACGCGCUCGACGGUGAGGGAUGAAAGCUGGGGGAGCGAACCGGAUUAGAUACCCGGGUAGUCCCAGCUGUAAACGAUGCGAGCUAGGUGGUGGAGUGGCCGCGUGCCAUUCCAAUGCCGCAGGGAAGCCGUUAAGCUCGCCGCCUGGGGGAGUACGGGCCGCAAGGCUGAAACUUAAAAGGAAUUGGGCGGGGGGGGCACCACAAAGGGGUGAAGCCUGCGGUUUAAUU